RNAcentral lists this ribosomal RNA (429 nucleotides) under Bacteroidota bacterium. Its description in RNAcentral is "Bacteroidetes bacterium partial 16S ribosomal RNA". It matches the Rfam family "Bacterial small subunit ribosomal RNA", at positions 355 to 776 of the family's 1533-position model. Lineage: Bacteria; Pseudomonadati; Bacteroidota. The record is from RNAcentral.
UAGGGAAUCUUCGGCAAUGGGGGGAACCCUGACCGAGCCACGCCGCGUGAGUGAAGAAGGCUUUCGGAUCGUAAAGCUCUGUUGUUAAGGAAGAACGAGCGUGAGAAUGGAAAGUUCAUACUGUGACGGUACUUAACCAGAAAGGGACGGCUAACUACGUGCCAGCAGCCGCGGUAAUACGUAGGUCCCGAGCGUUGUCCGGAUUUAUUGGGCGUAAAGCGAGCGCAGGCGGUUAGAUAAGUCUGAAGUUAAAGGCAGUGGCUCAACCAUUGUAGGCUUUGGAGACUGUUUAACUUGAGUGCAGAAGGGGGGGGUGGAAUUCCAUGUGUAGCGGUGAAAUGCGUAGAUAUAUGGAGGAACACCGGUGGCGAAAGCGGCUCUCUGGUCUGUAACUGACGCUGAGGCUCGAAAGCGUGGGGAGCGAACAGG